Molecule: ribosomal RNA, 468 nt
Filed under: uncultured bacterium
Lineage: Bacteria
Description: partial 16S ribosomal RNA
Rfam family: Bacterial small subunit ribosomal RNA
Source: RNAcentral
GACGAACGCUGGCGGCGUGCUUAACACAUGCAAGUCGAACGGAAAGGCCCUGCUUUUGUGGCUUGCUCGAGUGGCGAACGGGGGAGUAACACGUGAGUAACCUGCCCUUGACUUUGGGAUAACUUCAGGAAACUUGGGCGAAUACCGGAUAGGAGCUCCUGCUGCAUGGGGGGGGUUGGAAAGUUUCGGCGGUUGGGGAUGGACUCGCGGCUUAUCAGCUUGUUGGUGGGGUAGUGGCUGACCAAGGCUUUGACGGGUAGCCGGCCUGAGAGGGUGACCGGCCACAUUAGGACUGAGAUACGGCCCAGACUGCUACGGGAGGCAGCAGUGGGGAAUAUUGCGCAACAGGCGGAAGCCAGAUGCAGCAACGCCGUGGGCGGAAUGACGGCCUUCGAGUUGUAAACCGAUUUCGACUGAGCCGAGGCGUGCGUGACGGUAAUGGGUAAAGAAGCACCGGCUAACUACGUG